RNAcentral lists this ribosomal RNA (492 nucleotides) under uncultured bacterium. RNAcentral's name for it is "partial 16S ribosomal RNA". It matches the Rfam family "Bacterial small subunit ribosomal RNA", at positions 29 to 507 of the family's 1533-position model. The record is from RNAcentral.
AGUGAACGCUGGCGGUAGGCCUAACACAUGCAAGUCGAACGGCAGCACAGUAAGAGCUUGCUCUUACGGGUGGCGAGUGGCGGACGGGUGAGGAAUACAUCGGAAUCUACUUUUUCGUGGGGGAUAACGUAGGGAAACUUACGCUAAUACCGCAUACGACCUACGGGUGAAAGCAGGGGAUCUUCGGACCUUGCGCGAUUGAAUGAGCCGAUGUCGGAUUAGCUAGUUGGCGGGGUACAGGCCCACCAAGGCGACGAUCCGUAGCUGGUCUGAGAGGAUGAUCAGCCACACUGGAACUGAGACACGGUCCAGACUCCUACGGGAGGCAGCAGUGGGGAAUAUUGGACAAUGGGCGCAAGCCUGAUCCAGCCAUACCGCGUGGGUGAAGAAGGCCUUCGGGUUGUAAAGCCCUUUUGUUGGGAAAGAAAAGCAGCAGGUUAAUACCCCGCUGUUCUGACGGUACCCAAAGAAUGAGCACCGGCUAACUUCGUG